RNAcentral lists this transfer RNA (76 nucleotides) under Oscillospiraceae bacterium. Its description in RNAcentral is "tRNA-Ala". It matches the Rfam family "tRNA". From Rfam's summary of the family: Transfer RNA (tRNA) molecules are approximately 80 nucleotides in length. Their secondary structure includes four short double-helical elements and three loops (D, anti-codon, and T loops). The record is from RNAcentral. Lineage: Bacteria; Bacillati; Bacillota; Clostridia; Eubacteriales; Oscillospiraceae.
GGGGAUAUAGCUUAGUUGGUAAAGCGUUCGGUUCGCAACAGAAAGACCGAGAGUUCGAGUCUCUUUAUCUCCACCA